AGGCUCACUUCCACAGCACAUACACGAAAGUUGGAAUGAUACAGAAAAGAUUAGCGCAGCCCCUGUACAAGGAAGACAUGCAACUUUAUAUGUUCCAUAUUUUU
Ictidomys tridecemlineatus (thirteen-lined ground squirrel) is the source of this 104-nucleotide small nuclear RNA. Lineage: Eukaryota; Metazoa; Chordata; Mammalia; Rodentia; Sciuridae. The record is from Ensembl.